ACAGGAUAACGCGCUCCGAGAAGGAGAAGGAGGAGGCAAAAAGAGACCAUAGACUUCCACCUGGGCCUAGAGCGGCUCUUAAAGUAGUGGCGAGAGGCAGGGUGGGCGGGGACCACCCUCAAUACAGGCCGCCGGAGGUAUCAUGGCGACCCGGAAUCCCCCUCCCCAAGAAUAUGAAAGUGAUGACGAAUCUUACGAAGUGUUGGAUUUAACUGAGUAUGCAAGAAGACACCACUGGUGGAAUCGAGUAUUUGGCCACAGUUCUGGACCUAUGGUAGAAAAAUACUCAGUAGCCACCCAGAUUGUAAUGGGUGGAGUGACUGGCUGGUGUGCAGGAUUUUUGUUUCAGAAAGUUGGAAAACUUGCAGCAACUGCAGUGGGUGGUGGCUUUCUUCUACUGCAGAUUGCUAGUCACAGUGGCUAUGUGCAGAUCGACUGGAAGAAAGUUGAAAAAGGUGUAAACAAAGCGAAAAGACAGAUUAAGAAAGGAGCAAAUAAAGCAGCACCUGAAAUCAACAACAUAAUUGAAGAAGCAACAGAAUUUGUCAAACAGAACAUUGUGAUAUCCAGUGGAUUUGUGGGAGGCUUUUUGCUAGGCCUUGCAUCUUAAGGAUAUGAAUAUUCUACCACAGUGGAGUCAUCUGUGAAAAGAAAAGUGGUGGCGACAAGGCUUUCUUCUAGAUGCUGGGAAAACAGCAAAAAUCCCUGGCCACAUGAAAUUGACAUGGGAAAGCUGGAUAAUAGUUCACAGAACGGUUGAACGAUGAUAAUCCCUGCUUACUGCCCAGGACACACAUUCUAUAGUGAACUUCAUGGCGAGCCACGCAGAAUUUCUCCUUCAGGACUGAGGUACUCACUCCCCCAGUUGCUGAGAGUAUUGGCAGAUGAUAACUUUCAUACAAGUCUCUCUCUGGAAAUUUUUCUUAGUUGAAGAGUGCCACCUCACCCAAGAUUCAUAUUCUCUUCCCAGGGACAGCCUACAUCCAAUGACUUGUUAAAAGAGGGAGCUCUAAAGACCUAUCUCUCUUGUCUCAAGGCAAGACACCUCUGAAAAAGUCAUCCCAGCUUUGGAACAACACAUGAGAUUUCUAAGACCUUUUUUUGUGAAUGUAUUGUAGCCCAAUAACUUCCUCUGCCUAAUCCUACUUCUUUUACUCCCCCACCGGGGCUGAUCCCAAUGACACUUCCUAAUACAUUUCUGAAUGCUAAACUCCACUUUGGAGUCUGCUUCCUGGGGAACCUGCCAUAAAACACACCCUGUAGGUUUUUGGGCAUUUCCCAUACUUCGGGACCUUUGAUCAUACUGUUUUCUCCACCCAGAACACCUUCCUUAUAAUCCUCUGCUAGUUAAAACCCUAUCCAUACUUCAUGGCCUCCCUGAAACAUCACCUAUUCCAUAAAGUUCUCCCUGACUCCUCAACGCAGGAGCCUUUGCUCUCCUUUUGAACUCCCCACUAGUGACACUCUUUUCAUACUUCUGUUAUGGUGACAGUUUGUAAGGGAAGAGCUUGGGCUUUGGAGUCAAGCAUGCUGGGAUUCUUCCAUUUAUUAGCUGUGUGACCACAGCCUCCUCAGUUUUUCUCAUUAAUAAAAUAAGGGGGGAAAGGCUAUUUUAUAACCUUAUUGUGAACAUUAAAUGAUAUAACACAGAUAAAGUGCUUGGCUCAUAGGAGAUGCUCAAGUUCAAGAUCCUCCCACACUUUCUUUUCUCCUUUAUUAUAUCUUGUAUCUUUAUUGAUUAUACCAGUCUUUCAUGGACUUGUUUCAUCUGCCUAUGGGCUUGGUAAGGGCUGGAAUAUGCCUUGCUUAUCUUUGUAUUCACACAGUGCUUAGCACAAACAGCUUAACAAAUGUUGAACUAAAUGCUGCUUUUGGGCAAAAUCUUCUAGUUUGUUUUUGGAACUAAGAAUUCCAUGUUGUAUCCCAUAGUUCAUAAAUUUAUCACACAAAUAAGGGAGUUCAGAAUGUCUGUAAGUUUUCAAUAGGAACUGUAGCUGCAGAGAGUCCCGACAACCUUCUUGCUGGCCUUAUCUCUCACUACAAGCACCAUAUAAAAAGUCAAACAGCAAACAAAGGUACCCUUAGAGAGUCUGGACUCAGAUAAUAGCUAAGAAAUUUAAAGGCAAAUCAUAUACACUGAUAUUUCUUUGACUAAAGUUUCUUUUAACAGAUUUUUUAAUGAGCAUAGUUGAGAAUUCUAAAAUAAUCUUAAAGGUUAGAUCUGGAGCAAGAAGUGACUAAGUUAGCACAGUGCUUAGCAUAUGUCCAGGAUAUGUUUCUUGAGUGAAUAAAUGAAUGGUUGGAUGGGUGUGGCUGAGCCAUGGGUGAAAUUCUGUAGAAGGACUACUUCUAUCUUCUCAGACACACUCAGGUCAUCUUCAGAGAAAACUGAAAGGCAGAGUCAGACAAUUCUCCUAUGUAGCCACUCUUAGGUAUGAUUGCUGGGAUAAGUGAAAGGCCCCUCUUAUGUCUGACAGUGUUGUUCCUGAAAGGAAACACAGAUGGUAAUAAUGCUGUGGUGUUGGAAGUUAAAUUUAUUUAAACCCCCAGAAUAAUUUUAAGUCCAAUUUUCUUAAUAGACAUUGAUGGCUUGUGUCACAAAUUGGGUUCCCCUUAGAAGCUGAGACUGGGUUUAGUGUGCAAGAUAUUUAUUAAGGAGAGCCCCUGAGAUCAACACCUGUGGGAAGGAGGAGAGGGAAACAGGAAUGGCCAGAGAGAGGAGCUGAGCUGGAAUGCAGGCCCAAAGACAGCUUUGGCCUACCCUACAGAGGGCUCUAGAGCUAGAUGGCCCUUUGGAGUUGUCUCAAGUUGGGCAAAAAUGAUCAGAUCUUUAUACUCUAUGCUCAAUCAGUUAUUGUAUAUGGGUUGUUCUCAGAAUGGUGUGAUUUGAGGUGAGAUGGUUUUCUGCAUCUGAGGCAGACCCUGAAAGGGCUGAGGGCUGUCUGCUUCCUGUACUUCUACAGCUGAGGUACCAUGUCCUUCCAUGUAGGGGGUCUGGGAGAUGAAUCUUUAUAUUCACAGCUCAUAAUGCCUCUUCUCUUAGAAUGUCCUUCCCUCCUUUGUUGGGCUAACUUCCACUCAUCCUUUAAUAUUAAUCUCAGAACAUUAUCUCUUCUAAGCUGUUUUUUUCUAGAUUCCUCAAAACAAGGUAAGAUGUUUCUACAUGGUGCUUACAAAAUACCACUCUAUUGGAUUUCUGCUUGUGUAUUUCAUUCCAGACUGGAAGCCUCUUCAUGGCCCAGCGCCAGGCAAUGUCUGACUCAGAUACAGGGAUUCGAUUCAUGUUUGUUAAAUGAAUAAUUGGAUGGAAGAGUUUUGGGGCUCAUUAACAGCACUAGUAUGUGAGUGUAUAGUCCUAUUGGCUAAGAAGUUACAAAAUAAGUCUAUUAUAACAUCGUAUGUAUUUAUUCAUACUUUUAAACUUAUAAUAAAUAGGUCUGUUAAAUCCUCUGAAUCAUUUUUAAUUUGGCUAGGUGGCUGUUUUGCAAAAUGUAUGGCAUAUAUGAUGCUUUUCUGAGCUGCUAUUUUCCAACCAGCAGGUUAGGACACUUUGGUGGGUCACAAAGUUGUUUUUGAUGUGUCACAAUAUAAUUGGUUUCCUCAUUCUGUUAUUGAUUUCUGCCUGACAGGGUAGAAUUUAGUGGUGAUGUGGUAGACAGUGGAGGUAGGACAACACAGGCAAAUAUGUGAGCAUCUAGAGGUCAGGUAUUUGGGUUUGGGUGGCUAUAGAGCUGGAUAUUUGAAGGGCUGUUUAGGAAGGAGCAGGAGGUGGGAGGCAGCACACCCUGCCUUGUCUCUAUAUACUGCUUUGCACAAGGUUGAUAACAGAGAUUUCAAAUGACUGCAAACAAUGUUGCAACUAAAGCUUCCUAGUGUGGAAUCCAGUACUAUUGCCAAGUCAGGACAAGCUGAGGAUGGAAAAUGAAGCAGAGCAUGAGCUGAGGAUGUAGACCACCCAGAGAGGCUUUCACUUGGUCAAAGGGAAAAUUAGCUCUGUAUAUGUUUGUGCAGAGAACACUCAUAUAUUAGAACUCUUAUGGUUGCAAAUGAUAGAAGCUCAUCUGGAACCAUCUUAGGCAAAAAGUACAUGGCUCAUGUAGAAAACUCUGGUAAAAGCAGAGAAAAAACUGGCUUCUGGGAUGAUAGAGACAGAGGCUAGUCCCUCACUAGGUUGGAGAGUGCUGGUUUCUCUGUAUCAGCUUUUCUUUUGCAGGCUGGCUUUUCCACAAGACUGGACCAUGGAUAACAACAGCUGCCAGCUUUCAUCUUCCCAGAUUUCACUCAUCCAAUUCGUGGCACACAUACCUAUGGAGCAACUAUUACAUGCCAGCCAUUGUUCUAGAUGCUGGGAAUAGCAAGGGAAGAAAAACAAGAAAAAAAACCCCUCUGUUUAUAUUCUAGGGGGGGAAAUUUAGACAGUAAACCAAAGUAAAGAGUAAUAUUUUAUAGUAUGUUAGAAAGUGAUAAGUGCUAUAGAAGAAAAACAUCAAGCAUAGAAGGAAGAUAGAGAGUGGUGUGUGUGUGUGUGUGUGUGUGUGUGUGUGUGUGUGUGUGUGUGUGUUAAAUUUUAAAUAGAAUAGUCAGUAAAGCCCUUUCUAGGGAGAUGAAAUUUGAGCAAAGACCAGAAUGAAGAGAGAAGCUGAGCCAUGAAGUUAACUGCAGUUUUGAAGAGAACAAGUGUAAAGGAUAUGAGGCUUACCUAUGGCCUUUCUAGAAUGAGAAGUUCAAACUUUGUUUCUAUUAUAUACUCUGAGUACCACAGGGUACACGUGGAUGGAAAUAAUUCUUGUUAAGGCACUAUUCUGUUCACCUCUGACUCUAUGGUCUACAUCUUCUGACAGCCACAAAUAAAAGAAGGUAUGUAAUCAAUUUAUAAUGUAUAAAGAAAAAUGUGACAAGUACUCACCAAGCUAACUUAUUAAAUACUACUAGAUACCCUGUAUAUCUUUCUCCUGCCAUAUUCCUUUUCAUUAUUCCAGAGGCUACACUUAUCCUGAAUUAAUCUUUCCUUACUUUUUCUAUUUCGCUAUUUGUUUUCUUUCUUAAUUGAGUAUGGAUUAUUUUGUACAUACAAAAGAAUGUUAUAUAGAUAACAAACACCCAUGUAUCUACCAUCUAGCUAAAGCAAUAGACUAUUGCCAAGACUACUCAAGUUUCUGUAUUUUCCUUUGAUCAUAACAACUGCAUCCUCUAGCCCUUUCCUAAAUUUUGUGUUUAUCAUUUCCUUGCUUGUCUUUAUAGGCUUACUACAUUUUUUUAUGUAUCCCUAAUAACAUAUCAUUCAGUUUGACAUUUUAAACUUAAUGUAAAUAGCAUAAUAUUGUAUCUAUUCAUCUGUGACUUGCUUUUGCUUUUUGUGAUCAUCGUUAUGUGUAUGAGAUUCUAGGGGUGUGGGGACCAAUUUUGGUAGUUGUGUACUACACAAUUCUAGGGGGAGCUAUUGCUUUAAGUUCUAGACAAAUGGUAACUCCUGGAGUUGUACAGCAUACAAUCUACUUGGCUGUACAAGAUGGCUGUGAUAGAUUGUGGUUCCAAAGAUUGCCACAAGAAUCUUUCCCAUCCCACAGGCUUUUUUAUAAUGUGACCUCAUCCUGUAUCCAUCAAGAAGAUUUGUCUAUUUCUCCUCCCCUUGGAUGUGGGUUGGCUAUCUGACUUAUUUUGACUAACAGAAUACAGGAAAAGUGAUGCUAGAUGACUUCCAAGGUUAGAAAUUCUGUCUUCACCACUUGAAAUGCUCCCUCUUAGAAUCCAGUUAUCAUGUAAGAAAUCUGAUUGCUAUGAAGACACCAUGUUGUGAGGCAGUCCAAUUUAACCAUAUGGUGAGAUAGAGGCCACUUGUAAGAGCAUUUAGGUGCCAGAUAUGUGAAUGAAGCCUUAUGGUACCUUCUACUCUAGCUUAGUCACCAACUGAAUGCAGCUGAGUAAAUGACCCCAGCCAAUGCUAUGUGGAGCAGAACUGGCCAGCUAAGCCCAAACCAAAUUCCUGACUUGCAGUGUCAUGAGCAAAUACAAUAAAAAUAGAAUAGCUCUUCAGAACAUUCAUGGUUGUCCUGAGUCAGGCUGAUCAGUCAUUGGAUAUAGCCAUCUCAGUAAGAAAGGUGACCUUGGGCAAGGCAGUUUUCUGCAACUAAGAUAGUCCCUGAAGGGUUUGACAGCCAAAGGUUGAUGGCCGACAGUGCUCCCAGCUCAUGGGGCUACGAGCCUUCCUUGAAGGGAAAUCUUGGAAAUGCCUCACAGUGUCCACAAAUAUUUUUUUUGUAUCUAAUUAACCCUUUUGCUGAUGAUGGAUAUUUGUAUUUUUAAGAUGAGAUAUUCUCUUGUAUUUUGUAAACAUGUCAAAGUUUUGCUGUUCAUAUUUAAAUCCUGAAUGAAUCUGGAAGUGCUUUUUUUUUUCAUGGUAUGAGGUAAAGAUCCACUUUUUUUCAUACAAAUAAUUUGCAAUGAUGCCUCUGUCAUAUAUCAAGUUUCUCUGUAUGUUUGGAUGUCUUGCUGGGCUGUCAUCAAUUGUAUUAUUGUGUUCUGUUGGCUCAUUUGUUGAUCUCUGAGCCAAUAUCAUAGUGCCUUAAUUACUGUAAAUUUAUAAGGCUUAGAGCAGGAUUCCCUCAACAUUGUCUUUUUUCUUCAAGGCUAUUUUUGACUCUGCUCACCAUAUACAUUUUAAAUCAGUUUGUCAAAUCCCACAUACAAAAAAUUUAUUAUGAAUUAUUUGUUUGUUUUGUUCUGUUUUCUAUGAAAA
This is an RNA transcript of Pteropus alecto (black flying fox), 6736 nucleotides long. It is a transcript of the gene named FUN14 domain containing 1, with no coding region annotated. The transcript has 8 exons. The record is from RefSeq and is a predicted model, not a curated record. NCBI's taxonomy places the organism in Eukaryota, Metazoa, Chordata, Mammalia, Chiroptera, Pteropodidae.